This 433-nucleotide ribosomal RNA is filed under the name uncultured bacterium. RNAcentral's name for it is "partial 16S ribosomal RNA". It matches the Rfam family "Bacterial small subunit ribosomal RNA", at positions 29 to 507 of the family's 1533-position model. The record is from RNAcentral.
AACGAACGCUGGCGGCAUGCCUAACACAUGCAAGUCGAACGAGACCUUCGGGUGUGGUGGCGCACGGGGGCGUCAAGCGUGGGAACCUGCCCUUAGGUACGGAAUAACACUCCGAAGGGGGGGCUAAUGCAGGAAAAUGUAUUCGGACAACAGAUAUGUCGCCCUUGGAUGGGCCGGCGUUGGUUGAGCUUGUUGGGAGGGUAAAAGCCUAUCACGGCGACGAUCCAUAGCUGGGCUGAGAGGCUGGUCAGCCACACUGGGACUGGGACACGGCGCAGAAUCUUACGCGAGGCAGCAGUGCGGAAUAUUGGACAACGGGCGAAGGCCUGAUCCACCUAUGCCGCGAGAGUGAUGAUGGCCGUAGGGUUGUAAAGCACUUUUACCCGGGAUUAUAAUGACGGUACCGGGAGAAUAAGCACCGGCUAACUCCGUG